RNAcentral lists this ribosomal RNA (1390 nucleotides) under uncultured bacterium. Its description in RNAcentral is "partial 16S ribosomal RNA". It matches the Rfam family "Bacterial small subunit ribosomal RNA". The record is from RNAcentral.
AGAGUUUGAUCCUGGCUCAGGAUGAACGCUAGCUACAGGCUUAACACAUGCAAGUCGAGGGGCAGCAUGGUCUUAGCUUGCUAAGGCCGAUGGCGACCGGCGCACGGGUGAGUAACACGUAUCCAACCUGCCGUCUACUCUUGGACAGCCUUCUGAAAGGAAGAUUAAUACAAGAUGGCAUCAUGAGUCCGCAUGUUCACAUGAUUAAAGGUAUUCCGGUAGACGAUGGGGAUGCGUUCCAUUAGAUAGUAGGCGGGGUAACGGCCCACCUAGUCUUCGAUGGAUAGGGGUUCUGAGAGGAAGGUCCCCCACAUUGGAACUGAGACACGGUCCAAACUCCUACGGGAGGCAGCAGUGAGGAAUAUUGGUCAAUGGGCGAGAGUCUGAACCAGCCAAGUAGCGUGAAGGAUGAAGGUUCUAUGGAUUGUAAACUUCUUUUAUACGGGAAUAAACGAAUCCACGUGUGGAUUUUUGCAUGUACCGUAUGAAUAAGGAUCGGCUAACUCCGUGCCAGCAGCCGCGGUAAUACGGAGGAUCCGAGCGUUAUCCGGAUUUAUUGGGUUUAAAGGGAGCGUAGAUGGGUUGUUAAGUCAGUUGUGAAAGUUUGCGGCUCAACCGUAAAAUUGCAAUUGAUACUGGCAGUCUUGAGUACGGUAGAGGCAAACGGAAUUUCUAGUGUAGCGGUGAAAUGCGUAGAUAUUAGAAGGAACACCAGUGGCGAAAGCGGUUUGCUGGGCCGUUACUGACGCUGAGGCACGAAAGCGUGGGGAGCAAAUAGGAUUAGAUACCCUAGUAGUCCACGCCGUAAACGAUGAGUACUAAGUGUUGGGGUUUCCCAGUGCUGAAGCUAACGUAUUAAGUACUCCGCCUGAGUAGUACGGUCGCAAGGCUGAAACUCAAAGGAAUUGACGGGCACCCGCACAAGCGGUGGAGCAUGCUGUUUAAUUCGAAGAUACGCGAAGAACCUUACCUAGACUUGACAUCCCUGGCAAAGCUAUAGAAAUAUAGUGGAGGUUACCCAGGUGACAGGUGGUGCAUGGUUGUCGUCAGCUCGUGUCGUGAGAUGUUCGGUUAAGUCCGCUAACGAGCGCAACCCUUAUCCUUAGUUGCUAACAUUUAGUUGAGAACCCUAAGGAGACUGCCGGUGACAAACCGGAGGAAGGUGGGGAUGACGUCAAAUCAUCAUGCCCCUUACGUCUAGGGCUACAGGCGUGCUAUAAUGGCUGGUACAAUGAGACGCAAUACUGUGAAGUGGAGCAAAUCUAUAAAGCCAGUCUCAGUUCGGAUUGAAGUCUGCAACUCGACUUCAUGAAGCUAGAAUCGCUAGUAAUCCCAAAUCAGAAUGUUGGGGUGAAUACGUUCCCGGGUGUUGCACUCACCGCCCGUCAAG